Molecule: non-coding RNA, 21 nt
Filed under: Caenorhabditis elegans
Lineage: Eukaryota; Metazoa; Nematoda; Chromadorea; Rhabditida; Rhabditidae
Source: RNAcentral
UCAGUCUUGAGGACCCGAAAG